Molecule: unclassified non-coding RNA, 288 nt
Filed under: Bombus terrestris (buff-tailed bumblebee)
Lineage: Eukaryota; Metazoa; Arthropoda; Insecta; Hymenoptera; Apidae
Description: misc RNA ENSBTSG00005030772.1
Source: RNAcentral
UAUCAAUUUACCUCUUGAUUAAGCCACCCUUCGUCCGUGCAGCCUUAACCUUCCAGCAAUUACGAGUCGUGUUUCGUUCGAAUCUCGACAGCGUAAAUCUCGGAAAUUACAAUGAAGACUGGACGAGUAACGCCUUCGAGACGAAUUUAUUGGAGGAUAGCCUUCUCGCGAGCCGCAAUUUCGCGAAUUACGGACCUUCACGGGUCACGUCCGCCAGAUAAGAUCAAAUUCUUUUUCCUUAGAGAAAGGAGACUCGAGAGCUAUAGAGAGCUAUAGAGAGCUAUAGAG